This 508-nucleotide ribosomal RNA is filed under the name uncultured bacterium. Its description in RNAcentral is "partial 16S ribosomal RNA". It matches the Rfam family "Bacterial small subunit ribosomal RNA", at positions 30 to 523 of the family's 1533-position model. The record is from RNAcentral.
AUUGAACGCUGGCGGCAUGCCUUACACAUGCAAGUCGAACGGCAGCGGGGGAGAAGCUUGCUUUUCCUGCCGGCGAGUGGCGAACGGGUGAGUAAUACAUCGGAACGUGCCCUGUAGUGGGGGAUAACUAGCCGAAAGAUUAGCUAAUACUGCAUACGACCUGAGGGUGAGAGUGGGGGACCGCAAGGCCUCAUGCUAUAGGAGCGGCCGAUGUCUGAUUAGCUAGUUGGUGGGGUAAAGGCCUACCAAGGCGAAGAUCAGUAGCUGGUCUGAGAGGACGAUAAGCCACACUGGGACUGAGACACGGCCCAGACUCCUACGGGAGGCGGCAUUGGGGAAUUUUGGACAAUGGGCGAAAGCCUGAUCCAGCAAUGCCGCGUUUGUGAAGAAGGCCUUCGGGUUGUAAAGCACUUUUGUCCGGAAAGAAAUGGUUAAGGUUAAUACCUGGGGUCGAUGACGGUACCGGAAGAAUAAGGACCGGCUAACUACGUGCCAGCAGCCGCGGUAA